RNAcentral lists this ribosomal RNA (495 nucleotides) under uncultured bacterium. Its description in RNAcentral is "partial 16S ribosomal RNA". It matches the Rfam family "Bacterial small subunit ribosomal RNA", at positions 28 to 507 of the family's 1533-position model. The record is from RNAcentral.
GACGAACGCUGGCGGCGUGCCUAAUACAUGCAAGUAGAACGCUGAAGGAGGAGCUUGCUUCUCUGGAUGAGUUGCGAACGGGUGAGUAACGCGUAGGUAACCUGCCUGGUAGCGGGGGAUAACUAUUGGAAACGAUAGCUAAUACCGCAUAAUAGUAGAUGUUGCAUGACAUUUGCUUAAAAGGUGCAAUUGCAUCACUACCAGAUGGACCUGCGUUGUAUUAGCUAGUUGGUGGGGUAACGGCUCACCAAGGCGACGAUACAUAGCCGACCUGAGAGGGUGAUCGGCCACACUGGGACUGAGACACGGCCCAGACUCCUACGGGAGGCAGCAGUAGGGAAUCGGCGGCAAGGGACGGAAGUCUGACCGAGCAACGCCGCGUGAGUGAAGAAGGUUUUCGGAUCGUAAAGCUCGGUUGUAAGAGAAGAACGAGUGUGAGAGUGGAAAGUUCACACUGUGACGGUAUCUUAUCAGAAAGGGACGGCUAACUACGUG